Momordica charantia (bitter melon) is the source of this 3093-nucleotide non-coding RNA. Lineage: Eukaryota; Viridiplantae; Streptophyta; Magnoliopsida; Cucurbitales; Cucurbitaceae. The record is from RefSeq and is a predicted model, not a curated record.
GCAACAACGGCGACGGCUGUGACCAUGCUUGCCCCUCCAUUUGGGGUAUCAGAACUAAAACACACAAUGCUGCUAAUAGGAGGCAGCCACAGGUAGGUGCCGAUGGUGGGAGGAGCCAAAGACACGAGGUCAAAUGCAAGUUGGUGAUAUUUUAGUAUUACAACAGGAGUCACUGUUGCCUGGCCUGAAGUCCGGUCCACGUGGAAUGAGGAAUCGGAGGGGCAGAUGAUCUUCCCCACCUGCCCCUGCCCACCACCGCACCACAAACGCAAAGAUACGACAAAAUCAGAAGCGUUAUUCAGUCCACAGAACCCAUUCCAAUAUCCCGAUUCUGAUACUGCGUUUUCCUCUUCCUUUCCCUUUCUGUCCCUCUUUCUUUCGGCAGACGGCAAUGUUGUUCCUCGAUACCUUAACAACACUAGCCAGCGCCAGGAACAAGCAGGUUGGUGUGGGCGUGGGCGACGAUAUUCCGUUUCCUACUGCAUGCUGGUUCCUCUACGCUGGCCUCUCCUGUGUCCUCGUUCUGUUCGCCGGUAUCAUGUCUGGCCUUACCCUGGGCUUGAUGUCCCUCAACCUCGUCGACCUCGAAAUCCUUCAACGUACCGGUACUUCCACCCAGAAAAACCAUGCUGCUACUAUUAUACCAGUGCUCCACAAGCAGCACCAAUUGCUCGUUACCCUCCUGCUUUGUAAUGCUUGUGCCAUGGAGGCUCUUCCCAUAUACCUGGAUAAAAUCUUCCACCCCUUCGUCGCGGUUUUUCUGUCUGUAACCUUUGUUCUUGCCUUUGGCGAGAUUAUUCCACAAGCAAUAUGCUCCAGAUACGGACUUGCUGUUGGUGCAAAUUUUGUAUGGCUAGUGCGUAUUCUGAUGAUCAUUUGUUAUCCAAUUUCAUACCCUGUUGGAAAGGUGUUGGAUGCGGUACUUGGACAUGAUGAUGCUUUGUUUAGGAGAGCACAGUUGAAAGCGCUUGUUUCUAUCCAUGGUCAAGAGGCUGGGAAGGGGGGUGAACUCACACAUAAUGAGACAACCAUCAUCAGUGGGGCACUUGACUUGACAGAAAAGACUGCAGAGGCGGCUAUGACACCAAUAGAAUCAACAUUUUCCUUGGAUGUGAAUUCCAAAUUGGACUGGGAAGCAAUUGGAAAAAUCCUUGCACGAGGUCAUAGUCGUGUUCCAGUCUAUUCAGGGAAUUCAAAGAAUAUAAUUGGUCUACUAUUGGUGAAAAGUUUACUGACAGUGAGAGCAGAAACAGAAACUCCAGUCAGUGCUGUCUCCAUACGGAGAAUUCCUAGGGUUCCGUCGGAUAUGCCUUUAUAUGAUAUCCUAAAUGAGUUCCAAAAGGGAAGCAGUCAUAUGGCUGCCGUAGUCAAGGUAAAGGAGAAGAAUAAGAACUCUAUGCUUACCAAUGAUGGAGAGAAAUAUGAGGAAGAGAAAAUUAUCUCUGGGAUAUCUCCGCUAGCCAUUCCCUUGCUCACCAAACAUGAUAAUGAUUUGGAAAGUGUUUAUGUUGACAUUGAAAAAGCUCCAAUAAAUACUGGACACAAACAAACCAUGAAGCCGAAUGUGGCUGCAAUGAAUGGAGUGUGCAAUUUGUUAGAAGAGAUUGAAGAUGAGGAAGUUGUUGGAAUAAUCACCUUAGAGGAUGUUUUUGAGGAACUUCUGCAAGAGGAAAUUGUAGAUGAGACAGACGUAUAUGUGGAUGUUCAUAAAAGGAUACGUGUGGCUGCGGCCGCGGCAGUGGCUGCUACAUCUGUGGCGUGGGCUCCAUCAGCUCGUAGGUUGACGCUUGACAGGUCAAAAGUUCACUGUACAAUCAUUAUCUGGCGUAGAUCGUGCUUGGGAAUUAGUAUAACCCUGUCAUCCGUCCUAAGGACACUGAACACUACGCAGCUGCAAAUAACAUUACAAUGGGGAUAAUAAUCAAUACCUCGAUUGAUGAUGCUACCUCACAGUAUCCCAAAUUUUACUCCAUCAGAUGAAGAGAGUGUCUUGGAUUACAUUUAGAGAGUGGAGACAAGCUGGAAAAGAAACACUGCACUUAGUUCUUUUACCUGGCAGGUUAGAUUUAUAUUUACGUAGUAUUAAAUUUAUGUUGAUCUUUGUUUACAGAUAAAGUUGAAUGACAUCUCCAGUCCGGCGUAGGAAUUGUUAUUGUCUAUUCAGAUCGGAAUAUUGGAUGCUGCCUUGGGGGAAAAUUUUUUUUAUGUACAUGAACUGCCAGAUCAGAUAGUAAAUAAACAGGGAUGAUCAUGCAACAGUGUUAGAUGAUGCAUGGGAUAGAGUUGUCAAAAUUUUGGAUUUGGUUAGUGAUAGAACCCAUAUUACGGAAUACGAUUGACUAGGAAAUUGAGAAUGAUACAGCCCUAAAUCAGACUUCCGAGAGGUUCACUCUCUGUAGCAUACCGAAAUCAAACAGGAACUUGUCCUGUAAAAUACCCCACUAUUCUAUCUGGAUAACCGAAAUGCCAUAGUAAACCAUGUGUACAAGAAACCGCCAUCAACCUCCCACAUUACAUAAAAGUCACUUUCACAGCGACCCACAUGUCCUACUAGUAUUUUUGUGGUUCGUUCUCCUAGCAUAGGCGUAACGAACUGGAGGAAAGAUAGAACACUUGGCUGUUUCCUAUUUCCAUUUAGUUUCAUAGACUUGAAAUCCAUUGAAAUUUUUGUUUACAGAGGAUAUAGUACAUUGCGAAUAUGGGGUAGAACUAUUGGGAGCUUUUUAUCCUGCUCGCUGGGUACGUCCAGUGGGGAAUUCUAAAGAGAUGGGCUCAAAUAGAGUAAGCUUCGUAUAGUGCAUUCGGUGGCUUUGUGUAUAGUAUACAUUGACUCUCCUAUCAAUUUGGGGGAGAUUGAUUCACCUAUUCAACAUGAAUAAAUUCUUAUGUAUGUCUUUUGUAGUGUUCUCUAUGUCAAUUCAAUUGAUAAGUAUAAUGACUCCUGUUGCCGUCUACUCUUGUAUCGCAUAAACAACAUGGAGGAAAGAUAUAUAUUGAAAUUGUGACACUUCUAUUAUCAUGAAGAAUUCAGUGUUACAUCAAGGUUGAAAAUUGUCAAUAUGAAUAUUACAGCAAAGAUAUUGUUGAUGUCUU